RNAcentral lists this ribosomal RNA (450 nucleotides) under uncultured bacterium. RNAcentral's name for it is "partial 16S ribosomal RNA". It matches the Rfam family "Bacterial small subunit ribosomal RNA", at positions 354 to 796 of the family's 1533-position model. The record is from RNAcentral.
GUGGGGAAUAUUGGACAAUGGGCGAAAGCCUGAUCCAGCCAUGCCGCGUGUGUGAAGAAGGUCUUCGGAUUGUAAAGCACUUUAAGUUGGGAGGAAGGGCAGUAAGUUAAUACCUUGCUGUUUUGACGUUACCGACAGAAUAAGCACCGGCUAACUUCGUGCCAGCAGCCGCGGUAAUACGAAGGGUGCAAGCGUUAAUCGGAGUUACUGGGCGUAAAGCGCGCGUAGGUGGAUUUGUAAGUUGGAGGUGAAAUCCCCGGGCUCAACCUGGGAACUGCCUCCAAAACUGCAUGACUAGAGUACGGUAGAGGGUAGUGGAAUUUCCUGUGUAGCGGUGAAAUGCGUAGAUAUAGGAAGGAACACCAGUGGCGAAGGCGACUACCUGGACUGAUACUGACACUGAGGUGCGAAAGCGUGGGGAGCAAACAGGAUUAGAAACCCCUGUAGUCC